RNAcentral lists this long non-coding RNA (478 nucleotides) under Prunus persica (peach). RNAcentral's name for it is "long non-coding RNA (PPER_LNC001557)". Lineage: Eukaryota; Viridiplantae; Streptophyta; Magnoliopsida; Rosales; Rosaceae. The record is from RNAcentral.
GGCAAGGCUGAAGAAGCAGCUCUCUGACUCUAAAUUCAAGGAGCUUAGUGGGCAUGACAUAUUUGCACCCCCUCCUGAAAUUUUGCCCAGGACAACUACUGCUCCACGUGCAUUGGCCUUGAAAGGAAGCAUAGAGAUAGGAGAACCUGCUUCCCCCAAUGGUCACACAUCUGUUAAGGUUUCUAAUGUGAGUGAACUGUGUGGUUACUUGCGCAUAAUACAUAUAAUUAUCUGUUCUCAUUAUGGAAGUGAAGUAUCUAACUGUUGUGAAUUGGUUUUUAUGUAAUAGCCUGGUGGGGGUCAGAGCAAUAUAGCAUCCAGUGAGGAACCUGCGUCCAAGACAGCUAAGAAGAUUUAUGAGAAGAAAUUUUCUGAGCUCUCAGGAAAUGAUAUAUUCAAGGGUGAUGUUCCUCCGUCGUCAGCUGAAAAACCACUGAGUAAUGCAAAACUACGAGAGAUGAGUGGCAGCAACAUCUUU